RNAcentral lists this ribosomal RNA (404 nucleotides) under uncultured bacterium. RNAcentral's name for it is "bacterial SSU rRNA". It matches the Rfam family "Bacterial small subunit ribosomal RNA", at positions 355 to 776 of the family's 1533-position model. The record is from RNAcentral.
UGGGGAAUCUUGCGCAAUGGGCGAAAGCCUGACGCAGCCAUGCCGCGUGAAUGAUGAAGGUCUUAGGAUUGUAAAAUUCUUUCAGCAGGGACGAUAAUGACGGUACCUGCAGAAGAAGCCCCGGCUAACUUCGUGCCAGCAGCCGCGGUAAUACGAAGGGGGCUAGCGUUGCUCGGAAUUACUGGGCGUAAAGGGAGCGUAGGCGGAUCGUUAAGUUAGAGGUGAAAGCCCAGGGCUCAACCCUGGAAUUGCCUUUAAAACUGGCGGUCUUGAGUAUGGCAGAGGUGUGUGGAACUCCGAGUGUAGAGGUGAAAUUCGUAGAUAUUCGGAAGAACACCAGUGGCGAAGGCGACACACUGGGCCAUUACUGACGCUGAGGCUCGAAAGCGUGGGGAGCAAACAGG